UACGGAGGGUGCAAGCGUUAUCCGGAUUCACUGGGUUUAAAGGGUGCGUAGGUGGGUUGGUAAGUCAGUUGUGAAAUCUCCGUGCUUAACAUGGAAGUUGCCAUUGAUACUACUGGUCUUGAAUUUUCUGGAGGUAAGCGGAAUAUGUCAUGUAGCGGUGAAAUGCUUAGAUAUGACAUAGAACACCGAUUGCGAAGGCAGCUUACUACAGGGAUAUUGACACUGAGGCACGAAAGCGUGGGGAUCAAACAGG
RNAcentral lists this ribosomal RNA (253 nucleotides) under uncultured bacterium. RNAcentral describes it as "partial 16S ribosomal RNA". It matches the Rfam family "Bacterial small subunit ribosomal RNA", at positions 524 to 776 of the family's 1533-position model. The record is from RNAcentral.